GACGAACCACACGAACGUUAUUCGGAAUCACUGGGCGUAAAGGGUGCGUAGGCGGGUCUUUAAGUCGGGGGUGAAAUCCUGGAGCUCAACUCCAGAACUGCCUUUGAUACUGAGGAUCUUGAGUUCGGGAGAGGUGAGUGGAACUGCGAGUGUAGAGGUGAAAUUCGUAGAUAUUCGCAAGAACACCAGUGGCGAAGGCGGCUCACUGGCCCGGUACUGACGCUGAGGCACGAAAGCGUGGGGAGCAAACAGG
This 253-nucleotide ribosomal RNA is filed under the name uncultured bacterium. RNAcentral's name for it is "partial 16S ribosomal RNA". It matches the Rfam family "Bacterial small subunit ribosomal RNA", at positions 524 to 776 of the family's 1533-position model. The record is from RNAcentral.